Bombus huntii is the source of this 2332-nucleotide long non-coding RNA. RefSeq lists it as uncharacterized. Lineage: Eukaryota; Metazoa; Arthropoda; Insecta; Hymenoptera; Apidae. The record is from RefSeq and is a predicted model, not a curated record. The transcript is spliced from 5 exons.
ACAAUCAAUUCUCGCGUUGAGAAUUUUCAGUAAUUUUUCUGGCGUGGCGCAGUGACAUGGCUGAUUAUUUAUAAUAAGUUAUUACUUAUUGUAGAUAAGUAUAAUUUAUAAGUAAGUAUUAUAAAUAACUAAAUAUUACUUAAUUUAGAUAAUUAAUUGAAUCUAGCGUUUAGAUCUAGCGGGUAGUGUCUCUUCAGCCUGCGAAUCUGGUCCGUCGUAUCAAGUAGUCCAGUGAUUAGGGGGUUUCGGUGUUUGCCAAAGCGAAGCUGAUAGUGAAAAUUCUGAAUACAUUGAAAGUGGAGGGAUAAAAGGAUCUUCGGAUAGUGAAAAGGAAAACUUCUUGAAAGUGUGUCGUAACAAGAAAAGGAUGCGUAUUUUUUCUAGUUCUGACUCCGAGGAUGAGAGGACGAGCAUUCCAAACACGUCCCAAAAUGUAAUGGGUGAAAUUGAAAUUGCAAUUGACGGGACACAGUGGAUAAAACUGAAAGCAGGCGGAUCUAGGGGUGGGACGCCCGUUCCUAUGAUAUUCAAGGAUAUCGCAGGACCUACUGGCUAUGCUAAGAGAAAUAUUAUCUAGGGUUGUGUAACUAGUGCUUUCGAAUUGACAAUUGACAGACACAUAAUGGGACACAUAAAAGAUUGCACUGAAACCGAGGCACAUCGAGUUUUGAAAAAAGACUGAUCAAUCACAAUUGCUGAGUUACGUAGUUUUCUAAGAAUUCUAUAUGCCCUAGGCGCAUAUGAAGCAAGAUCAUUGAAAGCUUCCGAAAGAUUACAAACAGAUAAAUUUGCGCUGAUAUCCGAAAUAUGGAACAGAUUUAUAAGUAAUAGCCAGGCUUGUUAUAAGGUGUACAAGUAUAAGACAAUUAUAAACGUGUUCCAGAAACCAUUUUUUAAAAAGAGACUUUACUUAUUAAUAAUUUAUUUAAACGUGAAUCCUAAUAUUGUUUAAUUCAGACUUAGUUUGAAUAAACCGAUUUUUUAAAGAAAAGGCGUGUUUUCGUUUACCCGUCAAUUUAACGGGUGCUCUUAGAGAUGGGUAUAUAAGAAACGCCCGUAAACCUAGUGUUAAAUAUGUAUUAUCUCCAAUAAAAAUGCUUGAAAUUACAACUUCCAAAUAAAAUAUGUACACAUAUAUUUAAAUAUUUGACGCCAAUAUUGGAAAGUAAACAUCUAUUUAAUUUUUUUUAUUUCGUUAAAAAAUUGUGUAACUAUUGACAUUAUCUAUAAGUAUCUAAAAUAAACAAUCAUAAUCCAUAAUUUUUUACUAAAAAAGCAAAAUUAUAGAAUAAUUUUAGUUUACAGAGGUUUUUAAUAAUGAAACAUAUAUUUGUAUUGUAUAACAUUUGUUAGACAUUAGUUAGAUACGAACUAAUAAUAUUAUAAUCAUAGUAAUCGUAUAUGUCAGACAAAACUUGGUCUCUAUUAUCAUUAUUGUCAUGCUGUUUUUUUUUCUUAUAUCCCCCUGAUAUUCGGUCCACCAGGAGUCAAGUACGUGAAUGCAUUGGAGAGAUAAAAGGAGACGGAAAUAACCGAGACCGCGCUAUUCUUUUAUUUGCGUUACACAGAUUGCUUUACACAACGAAUCCUAACUUCUCGAUUGAAGCGUCCAACUACGGACGAGUUGACAUCGCCUGAACAUCUAGAGCCUUACUCCUACAAUGAGAUUGUAUUCCAAAUCUGUAUAGAUCGUGGUACAACCUAUUUGCGUCCGAGAAUUAGGAACGGAUCAUGGAGCUAUGGAAUAAAUUGUCACAUUUGAAUGAAUUUGGCUUACUCUACGAUAUUACAGACUGCAAAUACUAAGAUACCAGAUAAGUUUGAUAAUAUUAAUCAUGUUAGAUGCAAUGUAUUAAUACAAUACAAUUAUCAAGUAUUCGGCAUCCAACGUAUAUCUUUUUUUAUACUAUAACUUUUUUCUUUGGUAAAAGUAAUCACAUAUUAUGUACAUAAAAAAACAAUCAUAAGCAGGAGUAUACUCCACUAUUAUAUUUAUAAAUUGUAUGUUUUCAGGCCAUCAAACUAUAGAAAAUUUACAAUGAAAGAAGAAUCUACGAUCUGCUCCGUAUUUUAACAGUAGUUUUAUCGUUCCCAAUGACGUGAUUCCUUUUGUAAAUGGUAUAUGCGAUUCGAUCGCAAUGUGGAGCGCUGUUCUACCUACGUACGAGGAAACACGAACAAACGUCAAAUAGCCGGUUCCCUUGAAUGGUUCUCAAAGCCAACAAUUCAGCUAGAGUUUCUUCAUGAGAAUCCCCUUGUGAAGCGAUCGAAUGUAUCAGUGUAUCCCCCUGUAACAAGGAUGCAACAAUUUUAAGAAACGGAGAAAUCAGGA